GACGAACGCUGGCGGCGUGCCUAACACAUGCAGGUCGAACGGAACUGUUUUGAAAGAUUUCUUCGGAAUGAAUUUGAUUUAGUUUAGUGGCGGACGGGUGAGUAACGCGUGAGUAACCUGCCUUCAAGAGGGGAAUAACAUUCUGAAAAGAAUGCUAAUACCGCAUGACAUAUCGGAACCACAUGGUUUUGAUAUCAAAGAUUUUAUCGCUUGAAGAUGGACUCGCGUCCGAUUAGUUAGUUGGUGAGGUAACGGCUCACCAAGACCGCGAUCGGUAGCCGGACUGAGAGGUUGAACGGCCACAUUGGGACUGAGACACGGCCCAGACUCCUACGGGAGGCAGCAGUGGGGGAUAUUGCGCAAUGGGGGCAACCCUGACGCAGCAACGCCGCGUGAAGGAUGAAGGUUUUCGGAUUGUAAACUUCUUUUAUUAAGGACGAAAAAUGACGGUACUUAAUGAAUAAGCGCCGGCUAACUACGUG
RNAcentral lists this ribosomal RNA (482 nucleotides) under uncultured bacterium. RNAcentral's name for it is "partial 16S ribosomal RNA". It matches the Rfam family "Bacterial small subunit ribosomal RNA", at positions 28 to 507 of the family's 1533-position model. The record is from RNAcentral.